Acanthosepion pharaonis is the source of this 113-nucleotide non-coding RNA. NCBI's taxonomy places the organism in Eukaryota, Metazoa, Mollusca, Cephalopoda, Sepiida, Sepiidae. The record is from the annotation of a GenBank genome assembly.
GACGGCCACAUCACGUUAAAAUACCGGUUCCCGUACUAUCACCGAAGUUAAGCAACAUCGAGCCUGAUCAGUAGCUAGAUGGGUGACCGCUUGGAAACACUAGGUGCUGUAAG